This 351-nucleotide long non-coding RNA is filed under the name Theobroma cacao (cacao). RNAcentral describes it as "long non-coding RNA (TCAC_LNC005396)". The record is from RNAcentral. Lineage: Eukaryota; Viridiplantae; Streptophyta; Magnoliopsida; Malvales; Malvaceae.
AACAAUAAUAUCCCAAAAAUUUAAAUUAAUAAACUGAAUAAAAUUUUCAAACCUCAUUCUCCAAAAUAGGUAGUUCUCCUCUUUGAACAAAGGUGACCUCAUCAUGGAUUGUCUUUCACUAAUGAAGCCCGAGGAUGAUGCUAUUGCUGUUACUUGAAGCUUGUUGUACAAUAUCUCUCAAAGGUGGUUAAACUUGUAAAGAACUAGAGAACGUGCUCUGAAAAGAUAAGAAUGAUCAAGGAAGGUCUAAGCUCAAGAAAGAUCAGCUGAAGGGUAAAGAUAUGAACUUUAGGCUCUUUGCUUGCUGAAAGGUAGAAACUUUACUAUUCACAACUGCUGUUACUAUUUUUU